This 213-nucleotide ribosomal RNA is filed under the name uncultured fungus. Its description in RNAcentral is "partial small subunit ribosomal RNA". It matches the Rfam family "Eukaryotic small subunit ribosomal RNA", at positions 644 to 864 of the family's 1831-position model. Lineage: Eukaryota; Fungi. The record is from RNAcentral.
GGCCUGGCUGAAUGGUCUUACUUCACUGUAUGUACUAUUUAGUCGGGUCUUUCCUUCUAGGGAACCUUGCGGUAUUAGUUUAUUGCAUGGGGAUCUAGGACUUUUACUUUGAAAAAAUUAGAGUGUUCAAAGCAGGCAUUUGCUCGAAUACAUUAGCAUGGAAUAAUAGAAUAGGACCUUGGUUCUAUUUUGUUGGUUUUCAGGACCGAGGUA